This 483-nucleotide ribosomal RNA is filed under the name uncultured bacterium. RNAcentral describes it as "partial 16S ribosomal RNA". It matches the Rfam family "Bacterial small subunit ribosomal RNA", at positions 28 to 523 of the family's 1533-position model. The record is from RNAcentral.
GAUGAACGCUGGCGGCGUGCUUAACACAUGCAAGUCGAACGGUGAAGCCAAGCUUGCUUGGUGGAUCAGUGGCGAACGGGUGAGUAACACGUGAGCAACCUGCCCUGGACUCUGGGAUAAGCGCUGGAAACGGCGUCUAAUACUGGAUAUGAGACGUGAUCGCAUGGUCAACGUUUGGAAAGAUUUUUCGGUCUGGGAUGGGCUCGCGGCCUAUCAGCUUGUUGGUGAGGUAAUGGCUCACCAAGGCGUCGACGGGUAGCCGGCCUGAGAGGGUGACCGGCCACACUGGGACUGAGACACGGCCCAGACUCCUACGGGAGGCAGCAGUGGGGAAUAUUGCACAAUGGGCGGAAGCCUGAUGCAGCAACGCCGCGUGAGGGAUGACGGCCUUCGGGUUGUAAACCUCUUUUAGCUGGGAAGAAGCGAAAGUGACGGUACCUGCAGAAAAAGCGCCGGCUAACUACGUGCCAGCAGCCGCCGUAA